CAGCCCCGCCUAGGGGGCGCACGGGUGCGCGGCCGGGCCCAGCGGGGUCCGCGGCUCCUCAUUCGCCCCCUUCCUCUCCUUCCCUCUCCCUCCUUCCCUGUCUCCACCUCCUAGACGCGCCCACAAGCAGGCCUGGCCGGGCCUACCCAACGCAGGGGAUCUCCCAGUGCGCGCACUCGCAGCGGGAGGACGGGGGGCGCGCACACACUCACUCAGCUCCGGAGGCCAUGGCGCGCGCUUCUCCCGGCCAACGGCUGUGGCGGCCCGCAGGUAACGGCUACGAAGGGUGGCAGGCGACCGACUCGGCCGGUGCUCGGCUCUCCCGGGCGGAGGGUGAGCGGCAACGACAAACCCGCAGACGGCCUCCCUUUCGUUUCCUCCCAGAGGCACCAGGGCGGUAGGCGGGCGGGGGACGCUAGCGCCUGAUCCGCGAGGGGGCAGCGGCAGCGACAACUCAAACGACGGCUGCAGACGCUUUGCGAAGACUGAGGCGAGAAGAGCCGAAUCAUCGGAAGGAGAGGUGCUCACAACUCAGCCAAUCAGCGCCUGCCCUGGGUACUCCCGCCCGCCUCUCCGUGCCUCCUCUCCCCAGCAACCCGCGGACCAGAGCCAAUCAGGAAAUUCGCUUGCGGCCCGGCUCCCGCCUCAGGGAUGCAACACGCCUAGUAACGCCACGUCAAUUGGCCGCCACGCUACGCUUCCUCGACGGAUUGGGACUCUCGACCAAUCAACGAAAGGAAUGGGGCCAGAUCGACUGGCGAAAGGAGAGCCUUUAACCCUGGGAGGCUGACUCUCCCACUUGGCUCCAGUUCAUUGGCUCCUGAGUUUAUCCGGCUAGAAGAACCUGGCACAAUGGAUUGAACCCUUGUAUUAGUCUAGUCCUUUUGUAGUGAUAACCCACACACCCAUUUUCYUCCAAAACCUGAGUAUGCACUCUAACCUCUCUCCUUGCUCCCUUCAAAACGCUGGCUCCAGCCACCUCUACUCCGGACUCUUUGGCUAGCAUUCCAGCUCUUAAUCCACUCUUCCCUGUUGUCAUUACACCCUCUGGUAAUCCUAAUCCCACAAGCUUUAUAGUUCCGCAGGGCUUGGAGGUAUGUGCUCCUUCUUACCAUUGGGUAUUAAUAUUAAUAGCUAUGCAAAGGACACUCAAUUCCGAAGAGGAAUCAAAAGACAACCACAGGUAGUUCUCUUGUGGCUCCGCAGGUUAAAUGACCCACGUUAUAACUGCAGGGGCCUGGGUCACUGCAGUGGCAGAGGUUCGAUCCCCGGACCAGGAACUUCCGCAUGCCUACCAUGGGCGAGGCCAAAAAAAAAAAAAAAAAAAA
This 1328-nucleotide small RNA is filed under the name Sus scrofa (pig). RNAcentral's name for it is "sTE71410". The record is from RNAcentral. Lineage: Eukaryota; Metazoa; Chordata; Mammalia; Artiodactyla; Suidae.